UGAGGGAAUAUUGGGUCAAUGGGCGAGAGCCUGAACCAGCCAAGUAGCGUGCAGGAUGACGGCCCUAUGGGUUGUAAACUGCUUUUAUAAGGGAAUAAAGUGGGCCACGUGUGACUUUUUGCAUGUACCUUAUGAAUAAGGACCGGCUAAUUCCGUGCCAGCAGCCGCGGUAAUACGGAAGGUCCGGGCGUUAUCCGGAUUUAUUGGGUUUAAAGGGAGCGUAGGCCGGAGAUUAAGCGUGUUGUGAAAUGUAGUGGCUCAACCUCUGCACUGCAGCGCGAACUGGCAGACUUGAGUGCGCAGGAAGUAGGCGGAAUUCGUCGUGUAGCGGUGAAAUGCUUAGAUAUGACGAAGAACUCCGAUUG
RNAcentral lists this ribosomal RNA (365 nucleotides) under uncultured Prevotella sp. RNAcentral describes it as "bacterial SSU rRNA". It matches the Rfam family "Bacterial small subunit ribosomal RNA", at positions 354 to 715 of the family's 1533-position model. The record is from RNAcentral. Lineage: Bacteria; Pseudomonadati; Bacteroidota; Bacteroidia; Bacteroidales; Prevotellaceae.